CCUACGGGUGGCAGCAGUAGGGAAUAUUGCUCAAUGGGGGAAACCCUGAAGCAGCAACGCCGCGUGGAGGAUGAAGGUUUUAUGAUUGUAAACUCCUUUUGUUAGAGAAGAUUAUGACGGUAUCUAACGAAUAAGCACCGGCUAACUCCGUGCCAGCAGCCGCGGUAAGACGGAGGCUGCACGCGUUACUCGGAAUCACCGGGCGUAAAGAGUGCGUAGGCGGGGUAAGAAGUCAGAGGGGAUUUCCUGUAGCUUAAAUACAGAACUGCAUUUGAAACUGUUACUCUGGAGUGUGGGAGAGGUAGGUGGAAUUCUUGGUGUAGGGGUAAAAUCCGUAGAGAUCAAGAGGAAUACUCAUUGCGACGGCGACCUGCUGGACCAUUACUGACGCUGCUGCACGAACGCGUGUGGAGCAAACAGGAUUAGAUACCCGUGUAGUC
RNAcentral lists this ribosomal RNA (440 nucleotides) under uncultured bacterium. Its description in RNAcentral is "partial 16S ribosomal RNA". It matches the Rfam family "Bacterial small subunit ribosomal RNA", at positions 338 to 795 of the family's 1533-position model. The record is from RNAcentral.